CACUUUAUUGAAAGCAAAGCAAGAUUUAGCAUCUUUGCCUUCGUUGUACACAGCUGAAGCGGAAGCCCAGGGAGAUGAGGACUGCAUGGUUUUCCUUGGCGUGGGAGGUGUGCACCCUUCAGUCCUCUCAUUUGUGGGAAGAUCAGCCCAUGCUCUGUUGGCUGCCAUAGUCCCUAGGAUGGAUGCCCUUCCAGUCAUCCCACUCCCGAACUCUGUAGAGUGUUUGUUCAUCAUCCUCUUCCUCCUUUUCUUCUUGACCUUCCUGUUGCUGAGCUGCUUUUCUGAAUUCCUCUGGUGUUGCCUUGGCUAUUCCCUGAUCUGGUAAUGCUCCAUAUUUCCAAUGUUGCUUAUACCAGUCACUCACCGUCAUAGUUGCCAGACUUGGAUAACCAGCUCCAAAUACUUUGACUUGGGCCAUGUUCCGAGUGAGAAUGAAGGGUUUCACUGGAGGCCUCUCCUGGCGAGAUGAAUUAGAAGUUGAUGCCUCUCUUGAAGAGUCUCUUUCUCUCAGGAUCUUUAUUUCCUGGUCAAUGCUCUCAAUCUCUUCUAAGCUGAUAUCAGUUCACCUCUGAAGGUGAAGAAGAUAAUAUUCACGAACACGCUCAUCAUCUGCUUGACCAGUUUCCACAGCAGAUUUGAUUGCAGACAACCUGUGCUCCAACUCCUUCUGCUUGUCUGAACAAGUCAAGCUGCGAUAACAUUUCGGCAGCCUUCUCAAGGAGGUCCAGGCCCUUGAACACCUUCUUCUGGACUAUCCGGGAACCGGCAGGUUCAGUCACUACUUCUACAUCAUCCAGAAGCUGUUUGCUGGUUUCAAACAGCUCGGGGAGCUGUGGCAGCAGUAAUUUGUCUUCAGCAGCC
This 861-nucleotide long non-coding RNA is filed under the name Homo sapiens (human). RNAcentral describes it as "HSALNT0209411". Lineage: Eukaryota; Metazoa; Chordata; Mammalia; Primates; Hominidae. The record is from RNAcentral.